UACGUAGGGUGCGAGCGUUAAUCGGAAUUACUGGGCGUAAAGAGUGCGUAGGCGGUUCGUUAUGUCUGCUGUGAAAGCCCCGGGCUUAACCCGGGAAUGGCAGUGGAAACUGGCGGGCUUGAGUGUGGCAGAGGGGGGUGGAAUUCCGCGUGUAGCAGUGAAAUGCGUAGAGAUGCGGAGGAACACCGGUGGCGAAGGCGGGUCUCUGGGCAGUAACUGACGCUGAGGCGCGAAAGCGUGGGGAGCAAACAGG
This 253-nucleotide ribosomal RNA is filed under the name uncultured bacterium. RNAcentral's name for it is "partial 16S ribosomal RNA". It matches the Rfam family "Bacterial small subunit ribosomal RNA", at positions 524 to 776 of the family's 1533-position model. The record is from RNAcentral.